Molecule: ribosomal RNA, 253 nt
Filed under: uncultured bacterium
Lineage: Bacteria
Description: partial 16S ribosomal RNA
Rfam family: Bacterial small subunit ribosomal RNA
Source: RNAcentral
UACGAAGGGGGCUAGCGUUGCUCGGAAUUACUGGGCGUAAAGGGCGCGUAGGCGGGUGUUUAAGUCAGAGGUUAAAUCCCAGGGCUCAACCCUGGAACUGCCUUUGAUACUGAGGAUCUUGAGUUCGGGAGAGGUGAGUGGAACUGCGAGUGUAGAGGUGAAAUUCGUAGAUAUUCGCAAGAACACCAGUGGCGAAGGCGGCUCACUGGCCCGAUACUGACGCUGAGGCACGAAAGCGUGGGGAGCAAACAGG